UUCACGUUCGUCCUUUGCUAGGUUUAUCUUUUCACGUUAUAUAUAUUAAACCGUAUAUUUUUCAAGAAAAUAUAUGUUAUGUAUUGUAUAGUUGAUUUUGUACUUAUUCUGAAAUUCUAUGAAUUUUUUAAAAGAUUCAGACAAAGCAACCCAAGCACACACGCAAGCAACAAAAAAAAAAAAUUUCCGUUGGAAAACGGAGGAUAUGGCUUUUAGUUCUCUAAGGAAAGCAAGGGACCAUAUAUUUCUCAAGGGAAUUUAAAAGGUUGAUGGAUGAAAAAUA
Molecule: long non-coding RNA, 283 nt
Filed under: Capsella rubella
Lineage: Eukaryota; Viridiplantae; Streptophyta; Magnoliopsida; Brassicales; Brassicaceae
Description: long non-coding RNA (CRUB_LNC003812)
Source: RNAcentral